Molecule: long non-coding RNA, 226 nt
Filed under: Elaeis guineensis (African oil palm)
Lineage: Eukaryota; Viridiplantae; Streptophyta; Magnoliopsida; Arecales; Arecaceae
Description: long non-coding RNA (EGUI_LNC064206)
Source: RNAcentral
GCAUGGAUUUAUUACGACUGGAUACUGGAUAUGACCCCUCCAAACGCUUGAAACAGAGUCAUGUUAGGAAUGGGGGAGAACCCCAUCCUAACGUACCUAAAAUGAAAGUCCGACUAUCUCGAAAUCGGAUGGGGGGAGAGGCCUUACAGCGCCCUAAUGUGCCCCCACAGUCAUGUCAGGAACAGGAGGAGAACCUCGUCCUGACAUGAGCAAAGUCGAAGGCCCG